RNAcentral lists this non-coding RNA (27 nucleotides) under Cricetulus griseus (Chinese hamster). Lineage: Eukaryota; Metazoa; Chordata; Mammalia; Rodentia; Cricetidae. The record is from RNAcentral.
GUAGAGAUGGCUCAGAGGUUAAAAACA